This 253-nucleotide ribosomal RNA is filed under the name uncultured bacterium. RNAcentral describes it as "partial 16S ribosomal RNA". It matches the Rfam family "Bacterial small subunit ribosomal RNA", at positions 524 to 776 of the family's 1533-position model. The record is from RNAcentral.
UACGAAGGGUGCAAGCGUUAUCCGGAUUCAUGGGGUUUAAAGGGUGCGUAGGUGGGGCGGUAAGUCAGUGGUGAAAUCCUGCAGCUUAACUGUAGAAUCGCCAUUGAUACUGUCGCUCUUGAGUACGCUUGACGUGGGCGGAAUGUGCCGUGUAGCGGUGAAAUGCUUAGAUAUGGCACAGAACACCGAUAGUGAAGACAGCUCACGAAGGCGAAACUGACACUGAGGCACGAAAGCGUGGGGAUCGAACAGG